This 450-nucleotide ribosomal RNA is filed under the name Triticum aestivum (bread wheat). Its description in RNAcentral is "partial small subunit ribosomal RNA". The record is from RNAcentral. Lineage: Eukaryota; Viridiplantae; Streptophyta; Magnoliopsida; Poales; Poaceae.
AUGACGCUCCUAAGCUAGAACUGCCUUGGCCUUGAGCAGCCUUGGAUAGUUCAAGAGCUAGUAUGCCUUGUGCAUACGUACAAGCCCAAGCUCGUCUUCCUCUCAGAAACUCGGCAAGGUAAUAAGUACCUUAAUAACCUCAAUUGGAGGCUUGGUCUCCAUCACUGUAUUGCACAAUCCGGCAUUGGAAAAGGUGUUGCUAUUGCCCUCUUUUAUGAUGAGUCCGUGGAAAUAAAGAAAAUUGUCGUGGGGGCGAGGUAUAUCAAUGUGUUGAUCCGGUUGAAUCCCUUUGGCUUGCGAUGGAGAGCUAGCUUUGUUUAUGGUGAGCCAAAAGCGCAUGAGCGACAUCUUAUGUGGACCUUAUUACGCAGAAUUAAGGAUACAACAAAUCUUCCGUGGCUAAUGAUCGUAUAUUUUAAUGAAACAAAUCUUCCAUAUAAGAAAUUGUAA